GUAAAUAUAGUUUAACCAAAACAUUAGAUUGUGAGUCUAGUAUUAGAAGCAUGAAACUUCUUAUUUACC
Molecule: transfer RNA, 69 nt
Filed under: Mesomys hispidus (spiny tree rat)
Lineage: Eukaryota; Metazoa; Chordata; Mammalia; Rodentia; Echimyidae
Description: tRNA-His
Rfam family: tRNA
About the family: Transfer RNA (tRNA) molecules are approximately 80 nucleotides in length. Their secondary structure includes four short double-helical elements and three loops (D, anti-codon, and T loops).
Source: RNAcentral